GUCGAACGAUGAUCCCAGCUUGCUGGGGGAUUAGUGGCGAACGGGUGAGUAACACGUGAGUAACCUGCCCUUGACUCUGGGAUAAGCCUGGGAAACUGGGUCUAAUACCGGAUACGACCAUCUGGCGCAUGUCAUGGUGGUGGAAAGCUUUUGUGGUUUUGGAUGGACUCGCGGCCUAUCAGCUUGUUGGUGGGGUAAUGGCCUACCAAGGCGACGACGGGUAGCCGGCCUGAGAGGGUGACCGGCCACACUGGGACUGAGACACGGCCCAGACUCCUACGGGAGGCAGCAGUGGGGAAUAUUGCACAAUGGGCGCAAGCCUGAUGCAGCGACGCCGCGUGAGGGAUGACGGCCUUCGGGUUGUAAACCUCUUUCAGUAGGGAAGAAGCGUAAGUGACGGUACCUGCAGAAGAAGCGCCGGCUAACUACGUGCCAGCAGCCGCGGU
RNAcentral lists this ribosomal RNA (446 nucleotides) under Paenarthrobacter sp. RNAcentral's name for it is "bacterial SSU rRNA". It matches the Rfam family "Bacterial small subunit ribosomal RNA", at positions 61 to 521 of the family's 1533-position model. The record is from RNAcentral. Lineage: Bacteria; Bacillati; Actinomycetota; Actinomycetes; Micrococcales; Micrococcaceae.